Mus musculus (house mouse) is the source of this 2245-nucleotide long non-coding RNA. RefSeq annotates it as predicted gene, 39040. NCBI's taxonomy places the organism in Eukaryota, Metazoa, Chordata, Mammalia, Rodentia, Muridae. The record is from RefSeq and is a predicted model, not a curated record. The transcript has 3 exons.
GUGAUGAGGAGGUGUGGCCUCUCACCACACAGAAUCCCAGGAGUUCAGGUGUCUAGGGGAAAUUCUGAGGGGUGGGUGCCUCCUCUCCCUGACCCCAUCCCCAAGCUAGAGUGAGUGAGGCCCCCAGAUGACUUUGUGGGAGGGGAUAUGCUGCACUCACUUGAAAGCCAGAUUCAGAACUUCUGCCUCAGUGACAGGUCCUUUCUGGGCCUACAAAGACAUCUCCCCUGGGCCUAUCUUCCCAAGAUGGACCUGGAUCUGGACCUGGGUCCAAGGGGUGAUUAUUUUGGGAGGUAAAGGGUACUGUUGGAGGAAGCCUGGAUGUUCAGGUGUGAGUAUCCUUGUGUUAUUUGGGGUUCCUUAUAGUCUGGGACAAGUAGAGUAGGAUAGGGAUGGGAGAGGAAGGAUCAGUGAUAUGGAUCUCCAAGAAGACUGAAAAAUCGAAAAACCAAACCAAACCAACCAAACAGAAACUCAUUUGGAACUAGGUCUCAACAUUCUCUCUCUCUCUCUCUCUCUCUCUCUCUCUCUCUCUCUCUCUCUCUCUCUCUCUCUCUCUCUGUGUGUGUUGAGGGGGGGGAGAGGUUAUAUCCAGUGUCUCACUCUGUACAGCCCAUGCUGAUCUGAAACUCAUGACCAUCCUGCCUUAACACCACAGAUAUGUCACCACACUGAGCUCAGCAUAGUUGGUCGCGGGAGUAUGCAUGUCAUAAUGGAAGGAUGGGCUCUCUUCACCUAGCAGCCGAUUGUCUUAAUUGAUAACAAACACCUGUAGACACGGAAUCCUUGAGUCUUUAUUUGCGUUUUUGUUCAUGGCUUGACCAUUGUCCUAGUAGCACUUGGAAGUGAGGGAGCCCAUGAUGUGGGAUUCCUGGUGGAUAGGAGAGAGGACCGAGAACCGCAGGGAACAACUCGGGACGGAUAAACAACGUUUUAAAUUUAUGGUGCCUUCAGAAUAUACUACUGUUGUUGAUUUUAUUGUUGUUUUUUUCACUCCGCUUUUAGGAUAGUCUACUGGGAAACUUCCCUCUGUUUUCCCAGCAGAGCAGCAGGGAGGUUGGAGAGUGAGCAGCGCCACCCUGAGGCCAGGGAGGCAAUGGCGUCAGGAACGGAAGCCUGCCGCUUAGGUCGAGCAGCUGCGCGAUCACAUGGCCCCGGCUACAUUUAGAGGUUGGCCUCAAAGUUGCUGUGUGGAUGAAGAUGAACUUGGACUCCUGAUCCUCUUUCCUCUACUUCCCAAGUGCUGAUGUAAUGGAUUCUGUCACCAUGCUUACCUUACAUGGUCAUACACGGCUCAUGUUCAAGUGUUAGGUUCUCUGGGGCUGCGUAAAUGGACAACUGCUCAGACGUGUCACCUGUCAGGGAUGGGGCAAGGAUGCCAGGCAUCAGGGAGUCUGGAGUCUAAGUCAAAAGAAUGGUCUGUGGAGCAUUGGGAUGAACAGCAGACCCUUCAAAGACAGUGGGGACGGGCUGGCUCUAACAGGGCCCCAGCGUAUCUGCACGCAUUCCUUCUCUUGCUGCGGCAAGCCUUUGUGCAUUCUCCUGGCCGCUCACACUGUGCCCAUGUGUCCGGGUAGCGCCUUCCUUGUCUGAUCCUCUUUGCUUCUGACUCUGCCGAUAACCUGUAAACCCUUCUUUGAGAGUCUCGAACUCUCUUCAUCUCCUUCCCAACUCUGAUCAAACAAACAAACAAACAAACACUGGACACCCACUCUCAGGAGCAGCUGUUGUGCAGAACUAGAAUAUCAGAUGAUGUCAGUGACGACUGGCCAGCCUGCAGAGGGCUACCAUUGACUCUGGUGAAGAUCCCUGUCGCAGUCUGCCAUGACCAGGGGUUUGGGACUCUGCUACCUGCCAGUCAGUACCUUCAUGACUUUGCUGUCAGCCGUCAGACAGCCCUGUAGACAGGGUAGCUUCAACAAAAGCUCUCUAAGGGCUCAUGGUUCUGGAGGCCAGCAGUCUUAGCAUCAAAAGGGUUGAUCCUUUUUAGAGAUGUGAAACACCCUCACCCCGGCCCCCAGCUCUGGCUGGUUUGCUGGUUCUGCAGAGCUCCUUGGAUUAUAGAAGCAUCAUCCCCAGACCUCGCCUCUGCCCGCUACUUCCCAUGGCCACCUUCCAGUGUAUGCAUCCAAAGUCCCCCUUUCGCUGCAGACACUAGGCAUAAUGGAUCAAAGGAUUAGGAGACAUUUACAUCAAACACUACUGCUCCAGCCACUGUGAAAUCCUGAGACCUGUCUGCCUGCUG